This 468-nucleotide ribosomal RNA is filed under the name uncultured bacterium. Its description in RNAcentral is "partial 16S ribosomal RNA". It matches the Rfam family "Bacterial small subunit ribosomal RNA", at positions 28 to 507 of the family's 1533-position model. The record is from RNAcentral.
GACGAACGCUGGCGGCGUGCUUAACACAUGCAAGUCGAACGGAAAGGCCCUGCUUUUUUGGUGUGCUCGAGGGGCGAACGGGUGCGUAACACGUGUGUAACCUGCCCUUGACUUUGGGAUAGCUUCAGGAAGCUGGGGCUAAUACCGUAUAGGAGCUCCUGCUGCAUGGUGGGGGUUGGAUAGUUUCGGCGGUUGGGGAUGGACGCGCGGCUUAUCAGCUUGUUGGUGGGGUAGUGGCUUACCAAGGCUGUGACGGGUAGCCGGCCUGAGAGGGUGACCGGCCACAAUGGGACUGCGAGACGGCCCAGACGCCUACGGGGGGCAGCAGUGGGGAAUAUUGCACAAUGGGAGGAAGCCUGAUGAAGAAACGCCGCGUGCGGGAUGACGGCCUGCGGGUUGUAAACCGCAUUCGCCUGUGACGAAGCGUGAGUGACGGUAAUGGGUAAAGAAGCACCGGCUAACUACGUG